GCCCGCUUGGCACAGUGGUAAUGCGUCUCACUCGUAUGCAUCAUAUCGUGUGUGAUGAGAAGAUCACUGGUUCGAUUCCAGUAGUACGUU
Molecule: non-coding RNA, 90 nt
Organism: Lithohypha guttulata
Lineage: Eukaryota; Fungi; Ascomycota; Eurotiomycetes; Chaetothyriales; Trichomeriaceae
Source: the annotation of a RefSeq genome assembly